Molecule: long non-coding RNA, 202 nt
Filed under: Mytilus galloprovincialis (Mediterranean mussel)
Lineage: Eukaryota; Metazoa; Mollusca; Bivalvia; Mytilida; Mytilidae
Source: RNAcentral
AUUGGUUAUAUCUAUUUUACACCCAAAAACAUUUAAAGUACUGCAAUAUCUACUAAGAUUCACAGCAUACAGACUUCUUUGGAUCAACGGUACUCUCAGAUGAGCAAAAUAGUGUUUUAUUUAGUUUGGUGCAAAAAUAUAUUAUUAAAAGUAAACGUUUUAACCCUUGAUGUUAAUGCUUCAUCACUCAAUAGGAACCAAG